GGCAAUGUGGCUUAGUGGUAAGAGUGCUUGCCUGGCAUUCAUGAAGCCCUUGGUUUGACUCCUCAGUGCCA
This 71-nucleotide transfer RNA is filed under the name Dipodomys ordii (Ord's kangaroo rat). It matches the Rfam family "tRNA". From Rfam's summary of the family: Transfer RNA (tRNA) molecules are approximately 80 nucleotides in length. Their secondary structure includes four short double-helical elements and three loops (D, anti-codon, and T loops). The record is from Rfam by way of RNAcentral. Lineage: Eukaryota; Metazoa; Chordata; Mammalia; Rodentia; Heteromyidae.